GACGUGGGACGGCUGCUAUUAGUACUUCGAUGGUGGUGGUGGUUACUGGGGGCAGAGAGUGCGGUGGUCUGGCCCCAUUUGAGGGAGAGCGGGAAGUUAUGCAGCGGCUGUGGCUUCACUGGUGCUGCUGCCAUGAAAGCCAGCACUUACAUAUACAAAGAUAUCUAUAUAUGGAAGUGCGUGCCUGUGCCUUUGCUUUUACGUGGAACUUAAAGAUGGUAACGAGAGCCCAAAUAAAAAAAAAAACCCUAGAGACAGAGAGAGAGAGAGAGAGAGCAAGGAAAUGAGAGAAGCAGGCCAGACGGUGGUGUUGUGUUGUUAAGCAGAGGACGACGAGAGAGAAAGAGGGUGGGGGG
This 356-nucleotide unclassified non-coding RNA is filed under the name Hevea brasiliensis (rubber tree). Lineage: Eukaryota; Viridiplantae; Streptophyta; Magnoliopsida; Malpighiales; Euphorbiaceae. The record is from RNAcentral.